UACGGAGGGUGCAAGCGUUAAUCGGAAUUACUGGGCGUAAAGCGCACGUAGGUGGUUUGUUAAGCUAGCUGUGAAAUCCCCGGGCUCAACCUGGGCACUGCAGUUAGAACUGGCAAGCUAGAGUAGGGUAGAGGGGUGUGGAAUUCCAGGUGUAGCGGUGAAAUGCGUAGAUAUCUGGAGGAACACCGGUGGCGAAGGCGGCAUCCUGGACCAACACUGACACUGAGGAGCGAAAGCCAGGGGAGCAAACGGG
This 253-nucleotide ribosomal RNA is filed under the name uncultured bacterium. RNAcentral describes it as "partial 16S ribosomal RNA". It matches the Rfam family "Bacterial small subunit ribosomal RNA", at positions 524 to 776 of the family's 1533-position model. The record is from RNAcentral.